GCCCCAACAAGCCCAACAACCAACAACCAACAACCAACAACCAACAACCAACAACCAACACAUUUGACACAGGAAGUAGCUGCGACCGAACCCGCCUAAUCGACGCAAUAGAGGUAGUACUGCAAAGGAAAAGUGAAAGACGCUACAAGCCAAAAAAAGCAGGAAUAAAACCCCGUACCUCUUGCAUCACAGUCUAGCAAGAAUACACAGACAAAAAGCCUUCAAGUCUGUCAUCCCGAACGCAAGUGAGCUAUUUCCGGGCAGUAAUUGAACCAACCCAUUUCUGUAGCAAAAGAACGGGAAGACCCGGAAAUAGAGGCGAAAAACCAACCGAACCUGCUGAUAGCUGGUUGCCCGAUAAACGAAUUUAAAUUCAAACUUGAGUAACGACAUCAUAAAGUAAUGUAACCUUUACCCAAGAAUUAGUCAAUGAAGGUACAGCUCCAUUGACCUAGGAUACAGCCUCCAUCAGAGAGUAAUUUUACUAACACUAACUGUUGACCUCAAAACAGCCACCAAAAAAUAUAACGUUACAGUAACAGGAAAAAAAUUCUAAACUGACUGACCUCCUGGUUCUUUCCCGGGCCACUCUAUCCACAAAAUAGAAGAAACCAUGCUAAAACAAGUAAUAAGAAAAAUUCUCCACGGACAAAAUUCUACCAUUAUCAGACCAAAAACGGAAACAUGAAACCUGCUUAACGCACCAUAAACCACACUGUAAAACCAACCCCGGAUUGUCCACAGAGUGAUUUAAAGCCUAAAAAGGAACUCGGCAAAAAUAUUUGACCUUUCCAACUGUUUACCAAAAACAUAGCCUUUAGAUUUUAAUAAUAUUAAAGGUACUGCCUGCCCAAUGAGAGUAAAACUCUUAAAUGGCCGCGGCAUAACCGUGCAAAGGUAGCAAAAUCAUUUGUCCCCCAAAUAGGGACCAGUAUGAAUGGCCACAUGAGAAAGAAACUGUCUCUUUAGGCCCCUCAAUGAAACUGAUCUGUCUGUACAAACGCAGACAUAAAAAAGCAAGACAAAAAGACCCUGUGAAACUUUAAGAGUCAGUCAUACAAUUGACCAAGACACUUUCGGUUGGGGCAACCAAAGAGAAACAGAAACCUCUUUAACCGCCACACGGCAAACAAGCCUAACGGCAAAUCUACAGACCCAGUAUUACUGAGAAAAGAACCAAGCUACUCCAGGGAUAACAGCGCUACAUUCUUGAAGAGUCCAUAUCGACAAGAAUACCUACGACCUCGAUGUUGGAUUAGGAUAUCCGAAUGGCGCAAAAGCUAUUAAUGGUUCGUUUGUUCAACGAUUAAAAUCCCACGUGAUCUGAGUUCAGACCGGAGCAAUCCAGGUCGGUCUAUAUCUGCUAAAAACUUCACCCAGUACGAAAGGACCGAUGAAGAAAGGGCUAUUUUAAAUAUACCCCUUACCACCUAAAAACUGCAUAAGAAUUAAGUUUCGAGCAGUACCAAUAAUGCCCCCAAAAAAGGGGCCGCCCACACGACCAGCGUGUGGGCAAUUUUGUCC
This 1524-nucleotide ribosomal RNA is filed under the name Calotes emma. RNAcentral describes it as "16S ribosomal RNA". It matches the Rfam family "Bacterial large subunit ribosomal RNA", at positions 267 to 2886 of the family's 2925-position model. Lineage: Eukaryota; Metazoa; Chordata; Lepidosauria; Squamata; Agamidae. The record is from RNAcentral.